This 114-nucleotide ribosomal RNA is filed under the name Pseudozyma flocculosa. The record is from RNAcentral. Lineage: Eukaryota; Fungi; Basidiomycota; Ustilaginomycetes; Ustilaginales; Ustilaginaceae.
GCGGCCAUAGGACCCUGAAAGCACUGCAUCCCGUCCGAUCUGCAAAGUUAAGCAGGGUACCGCCUAGCUAGUACUGCGGUGGGGGACCACGCGGAAUCCUAGGUGCUGCAGUUU